ACCCUUUCUUCACCCACCUAUGUUCUCCUGUUCUCUCUACCCUUAGUACGUACCCAUUGCGCCUCUGGAUUCGUGCAAAGCUUGCAUCUUUCCGUUAAAAGUCUUUCUCUCUUUCUCUCUCUCUCUGCACGAAGACCACAUUUUCACAUACACACAGCAGACACCGAGACAAACAUCCAACAGACAAUGCUAGCGAGACGAAACUGUGUCUCUGCGUGUCCGUAUGCGCGUGAUCCUCCUGCUUUCUUACUCUUUCUGCAACUUUCUUUAAACUCCACUUUCCGUAAUCUUCUCACAUACACACAGAGGGAGGGAGAGAGAAGGAACUGAAAGAUCGAAUUAAAUCCACAACUGCUUACUACGGCUACUAAUGUUACUGCAGAAGAAAGCUCUGAAACACUCUUCUCUUCUCUUCUCUUCUCUUUUUAAAAGAGGAGUCAUUAGGGUUGUUCAAACAAAUAACAAUGUCUCCUGCUGCGACUCGAACUGGAUCUCUUGCUGACUAUGGCGUCAUCGUCUCCUUCUUCCACCCUUAUGCUCUGCUGUUGCGGCUCUUUACAUGGAAGGGCUUCUGCAGCACCUCCCUAAAAGAUGUAUCUCUUUGCAACGAAGGUUCAGAGAUGAUGGUGACACUUUCUUUAAGGAUUAUGCAUUGUUCCAGCAUCAUAGAUGAAAGAAAUUUCUGUCCCUUUCAGUACUGUUUGGUAUAUAUGAACGGGUAACUCAUCAUGCUUGAAUUAGGGAAUGAAGCCAUUGGUCCGCGUAGCAGAUACAUUUUUGUACUAUAUUUGAAUUCCUGUAAUGGAUUCAGCUAUUUGAAAUUUUUUACAUCUUAAAUGCAGUGCUGCAUUUUCUUUGUUCUUUUCUCUGCCUAUUACAAGUAUUUGAUGUAUCUGUUACUAUUCUUAGAGGUCUCUGAUAUGAGUUCAUCUGUAGAGAAUUGUGCUUGUGCAAUUACCCAUCAAUAGGAAUUGAAUAUUUCCCUGAA
Molecule: long non-coding RNA, 988 nt
Organism: Telopea speciosissima
Lineage: Eukaryota; Viridiplantae; Streptophyta; Magnoliopsida; Proteales; Proteaceae
Exons: 3
Source: RefSeq, a predicted model, not a curated record